RNAcentral lists this non-coding RNA (260 nucleotides) under Maribacter hydrothermalis. RNAcentral also lists the same sequence under 1 other name. Lineage: Bacteria; Pseudomonadati; Bacteroidota; Flavobacteriia; Flavobacteriales; Flavobacteriaceae. The record is from RNAcentral.
ACUUUCGCCGUGAAUUUUGGUUUUCAUUACUUAUAUGUGAUGAGAUUAAAAGGGAAUCCAGUGAAAAUCUGGAACUGUUCCCGCAACUGUAAGUUUAUUUCAACAAAAGCUAUUGGCGAAUAUUUUUUGUUUGAAACUUCAUUUUAUGAAGAUGUUAUUUUCUUCAAAGCCACUAUGUUAACCUGAACCGGUUCAGAAUACAUGGGAAGGCAAAAUAGCAUUAAACAAGUCAGGAGACCUGCCUUAUUCAAACGAACAAU